UACGGGGGGGGCAAGCGUUGUCCGGAAUUAUUGGGCGUAAAGAGCUCGUAGGCGGUGUGUCGCGUCGGCCGUGAAAACCUGCAGCUUAACUGUGGGCUUGCGGUCGAUACGGGCAUCACUGGAGUUCGGCAGGGGAGACUGGAAUUCCUGGUGUAGCGGUGAAAUGCGCAGAUAUCAGGAAGAAUAUCCGUGGCGAAGGCGGCUCUCUGGGACGGUACUGACGCUGAGACGCGAAAGCGUGGGGAGCGAACAGG
RNAcentral lists this ribosomal RNA (254 nucleotides) under uncultured bacterium. RNAcentral's name for it is "partial 16S ribosomal RNA". It matches the Rfam family "Bacterial small subunit ribosomal RNA", at positions 524 to 776 of the family's 1533-position model. The record is from RNAcentral.